CUUGAGCGCCAGCGAGAGAGCGUUGCCGCAGGCAACGACCCGAAGGGCGAAGCGCGCAGCGCUGAGUAAUCCUUCCCCCACCACCA
This 86-nucleotide small RNA is filed under the name Escherichia coli. RNAcentral describes it as "partial RtT sRNA". It matches the Rfam family "RtT RNA", at positions 47 to 130 of the family's 130-position model. From Rfam's summary of the family: This family represents a bacterial cis-regulatory element known as RtT RNA. RNAcentral also lists the same sequence under 1 other name. The record is from RNAcentral. Lineage: Bacteria; Pseudomonadati; Pseudomonadota; Gammaproteobacteria; Enterobacterales; Enterobacteriaceae.